AAAACACAAGCUCAAAAGUGAGUAACAGGACCACUAGGGCAAGCCUAGGGUCAAAGGAGAAUGAAAAAGUCAAAACAGCAAAGGGCAAGCAUCCAAAAUCAUGUUCAAACAAUUAAGAAACACAACCAAUUGGGUUCACAUUCAUAUCAAUCACUAUCAUCAUUUCAUAAACAAUUUAGGUCAAGGUAUAGCAAACAGAAG
RNAcentral lists this long non-coding RNA (201 nucleotides) under Lathyrus oleraceus (garden pea). Its description in RNAcentral is "Pisum sativum (pea) long non-coding RNA (PSAT_LNC005745)". The record is from RNAcentral. Lineage: Eukaryota; Viridiplantae; Streptophyta; Magnoliopsida; Fabales; Fabaceae.